AGUGAACGCUGGCGGUAGGCCUAACACAUGCAAGUCGAACGGCAGCACAGUAAGAGCUUGCUCUUACGGGUGGCGAGUGGCGGACGGGUGAGGAAUACAUCGGAAUCUACUUUUUCGUGGGGGAUAACGUAGGGAAACUUACGCUAAUACCGCAUACGACCUACGGGUGAAAGCAGUGGAUCUUCGGACCUUGCGCGAUUGAAUGAGCCGAUGUCGGAUUAGCUAGUUGGCGGGGUAAAGGCCCACCAAGGCGACGAUCCGUAGCUGAUCUGAGAGGAUGAUCAGCCACACUGGAACUGAGACACGGUCCAGACUCCUACGGGAGGCAGCAGUGGGGAAUAUUGGACAAUGGGCGCAAGCCUGAUCCAGCCAUACCGCGUGAGUGAAGAAGGCCUUCGGGUUGUAAAGCCCUUUUGUUGGGAAAGAAAAGCAGCAGGUUAAUACCCCGCUGUUCUGACGGUACCCAAAGAAUAAGCACCGGCUAACUUCGUG
Molecule: ribosomal RNA, 492 nt
Filed under: uncultured bacterium
Lineage: Bacteria
Description: partial 16S ribosomal RNA
Rfam family: Bacterial small subunit ribosomal RNA
Source: RNAcentral